This 21-nucleotide unclassified non-coding RNA is filed under the name Mus musculus (house mouse). RNAcentral's name for it is "oocyte_clustered_small_RNA9295". Lineage: Eukaryota; Metazoa; Chordata; Mammalia; Rodentia; Muridae. The record is from RNAcentral.
AUACAGCAAGCAGAUGCAGAG